Molecule: long non-coding RNA, 558 nt
Organism: Brienomyrus brachyistius
Lineage: Eukaryota; Metazoa; Chordata; Actinopteri; Osteoglossiformes; Mormyridae
Exons: 3
Source: RefSeq, a predicted model, not a curated record
UCCAAAUGGAUUUGUUCCAAGAAUGAACAUUUCUCAUGUACAGAAUGGAGUAUAUCGCACUAUCGGCCAGAUGAUGUCUACCAUAAUAGUCCAGGGUGGUGAACCUCCAGCAUUACUUUCUCCUCAUGUAGUGGACUACAUUGUAACAGGAGAUAUUCUUCAGGUGCAUGUCAGCCCAGAUGACGUCGCUGACACUGAACUCAGAGAAAACCUGACAAAGGUUGAUCAAGCAGCAACCCAAGAUGAGUUGAAUAUAGCAGUGGAAUGUUGUGAUUCAUGGAGAUUUGAAGUUGAAGGUCUUCCAAACCCAGUCAACAUGGAGACCAAAGAUGCAUUUGUAAAGAAUGCAAUACACUUCCACAAUCUCAUUCAACGACAGAUCUGCUAUGACCAGUUCGUUCAGGGUUUGAAGCACUAUGAGGUCCUACCACUAUUGAAAGAAAAUCCUUCUAUGAGGGUUUUCUUUGAUAUGCCCAAAGAAGCCAGUGAAGUCACUGCACAUGUUGUGGCUGGUCUUCUGAAGCCAAAUUACUCAGUGCUUGGUAGUAAUAGAAGACC